GCGCCAGCCGACACCCAACUUUAUUUUUCUAAGGUGACCUCGGA
Molecule: ribosomal RNA, 44 nt
Filed under: Aspergillus fumigatus
Lineage: Eukaryota; Fungi; Ascomycota; Eurotiomycetes; Eurotiales; Aspergillaceae
Description: partial 28S ribosomal RNA
Source: RNAcentral